Molecule: ribosomal RNA, 467 nt
Filed under: uncultured bacterium
Lineage: Bacteria
Description: partial 16S ribosomal RNA
Rfam family: Bacterial small subunit ribosomal RNA
Source: RNAcentral
GACGAACGCUGGCGGCGUGCUUAACACAUGCAAGUCGAACGGAAAGGCUCCAGCUUGCUGGAGUACUCGAGUGGCGAACGGGUGAGUAACACGUGGGUAAUCUGCCCUGCACUCUGGGAUAAGCCUGGGAAACUGGGUCUAAUACUGGAUAUGACCUUUCUCCUUAUGGGGUUUGGUGGAAAGUUUUUCGGUGUAGGAUGAGCCCGCGGCCUAUCAGCUUGUUGGUGGGGUGAUGGCCUACCAAGGCGACGACGGGUAGCCGGCCUGAGAGGGUGAUCGGCCACAUUGGGACUGAGAUACGGCCCAGACUCCUACGGGAGGCAGCAGUGGGGAAUAUUGCACAAUGGGCGGAAGCCUGAUGCAGCGACGCCGCGUGAGGGAUGACGGCCUUCGGGUUGUAAACCUCUUUCAGCAGGGACGAAGCGUAAGUGACGGUACCUGCAGAAGAAGCACCGGCUAACUACGUG